This 451-nucleotide ribosomal RNA is filed under the name uncultured bacterium. RNAcentral's name for it is "bacterial SSU rRNA". It matches the Rfam family "Bacterial small subunit ribosomal RNA", at positions 32 to 507 of the family's 1533-position model. The record is from RNAcentral.
AAUCAACGCUGGCGGCGUGCCUAACACAUGCAAGUCGAACGAGAAAGGGGACUUCGGUCCCUGAGUACAGUGGCGCACGGGUGAGUAACACGUGACUUAUCUACCCUCGAGUGGGGAAUAACUUCGGGAAACCGAGGCUAAUACCGCAUAAUACCCACGGGUCAAAGGAGCAAUUCGCUUGAGGAGGAGGUCGCGGCCGAUUAGUUAGUUGGCGGGGUAAUGGCCCCACCCAAGACGGUGAUCGGUAUCCGGCCUGAGAGGGCGCACGGACACACUGGAACUGAGACACGGCCCAGACUCCUACGGGAGGCAGCAGUGGGGAAUUUUGCGCAAUGGGGGAAACCCUGACGCAGCAACGCCGCGUGGAGGAUGAAGUCUCUUGGGACGUAAACUCCUUUCGAUCGGGACGAUUAUGACGGUACCGGAAGAAGAAGCCCCGGCUAACUUCGUG